RNAcentral lists this ribosomal RNA (344 nucleotides) under uncultured Thermanaerovibrio sp. RNAcentral describes it as "bacterial SSU rRNA". It matches the Rfam family "Bacterial small subunit ribosomal RNA", at positions 1036 to 1382 of the family's 1533-position model. Lineage: Bacteria; Thermotogati; Synergistota; Synergistia; Synergistales; Synergistaceae. The record is from RNAcentral.
AGGUGCUGCAUGGCUGCGUCAGCUCGUGUCGUGAGAUGUUGGGUUAAGUCCGCAACGAGCGCAACCCUGCUGCCAGUUGCAACGGGUAGAGCCGGGCACUCUGGCGGGACUGCCAUCGACAAGAUGGAGGAAGGUGGGGAUGACGUCAAGUCAUCAUGGCCCUUAUGUCCAGGGCGACACACGUGCUACAAUGGCCGGCACAGCGGGAAGCGAGGCAGUGAUGCCGAGCGGAUCCCUUAAAGCCGGUCUCAGUUCGGAUUGAAGUCUGCAACUCGACUUCAUGAAGCUGGAAUCGCUAGUAAUCGCAGAUCAGCCAAGCUGCGGUGAAUACGUUCCCGGGCCUU